RNAcentral lists this transfer RNA (93 nucleotides) under Polynucleobacter sp. SHI2. RNAcentral's name for it is "tRNA-Ser". It matches the Rfam family "tRNA". Rfam says of the family: Transfer RNA (tRNA) molecules are approximately 80 nucleotides in length. RNAcentral also lists the same sequence under 2 other names. The record is from RNAcentral. Lineage: Bacteria; Pseudomonadati; Pseudomonadota; Betaproteobacteria; Burkholderiales; Burkholderiaceae.
GGAGACGUGGCCGAGUGGUCGAAGGCACUCCCCUGCUAAGGGAGCAUCUGGCUAAACCCUGGAUCGGAAGUUCGAAUCUUCUCGUCUCCGCCA